GAUGAACGCUGGCGGCGUGCCUAAUACAUGCAAGUCGAGCGAACGGACGAGAAGCUUGCUUCUCUGAUGUUAGCGGCGGACGGGUGAGUAACACGUGGAUAACCUACCUAUAAGACUGGGAUAACUUCGGGACACCGGAGCUAAUACCGGAUAAUAUUUUGAACCGCAUGGUUCAAAAGUGAAAGACGGUCUUGCUGUCACUUAUAGAUGGAUCCGCGCUGCAUUAGCUAGUUGGUAAGGUAACGGCUUACCAAGGCAACGAUGCAUAGCCGACCUGAGAGAGUGAUCGGCCACACUGGAACUGAGACACGGUCCAGACUCCUACGGGAGGCAGCAGUAGGGAAUCUUCCGCAAUGGGCGAAAGCCUGACGGAGCAACGCCGCGUGAGUGAUGAAGGUCUUCGGAUCGUAAAAAUCUGUUAUUAGGGAAGAACAUAUGUGUAAGUAACUGUGCACAUCUUGACGGUACCUAAUCAGAAAGCCACGGCUAACUACGUG
RNAcentral lists this ribosomal RNA (497 nucleotides) under uncultured bacterium. RNAcentral describes it as "partial 16S ribosomal RNA". It matches the Rfam family "Bacterial small subunit ribosomal RNA", at positions 28 to 507 of the family's 1533-position model. The record is from RNAcentral.